CAGUGAGUAGUUUAAUUAAAAUUUUAAUUUUGGAUAUUAAAGAUAUUUGUUUCUCUCUGA
This 60-nucleotide transfer RNA is filed under the name Epeurysa nawaii. Its description in RNAcentral is "tRNA-Pro". The record is from RNAcentral. Lineage: Eukaryota; Metazoa; Arthropoda; Insecta; Hemiptera; Delphacidae.